AAUAUUUGACAAUGGGGGGAACCCUGAUCCAGCCAUGCCGCGUGUGUGAAGAAGGUCUUCGGAUUGUAAAGCACUUUAUGUUGGGAGGCAGAGUUGUAGGCUAAUACCUUUCAAUUUUGACGUUACCCACAGCAUAAGCACCGGCUUACUCUGUUCCUUCAGCCGCGGUAAUACAGAGGGUGCAAGCGUUAAUCGGAAUUACUGGGCGUAAAGCGCGCGUAGGUGGUUAAGUAAGAUGGGUGAGAAAUCACCGGGCUUAACCUGGGAACUGCUUUCAUAACUGCUGAGCUAGAGUACGGUAGAGGGUAGUGGAAUUUCCUGUGUAGCGGUGAAAUGCGUAGAUAUAGGAAGGAACACCAGUGGCGAAGGCGACUACCUGGACUGAUACUGACACUGAGGUGCGAAAGCGUGGGGAGCAAACA
Molecule: ribosomal RNA, 422 nt
Filed under: uncultured bacterium
Lineage: Bacteria
Description: partial 16S ribosomal RNA
Rfam family: Bacterial small subunit ribosomal RNA
Source: RNAcentral